Myiozetetes cayanensis is the source of this 14724-nucleotide long non-coding RNA. RefSeq lists it as uncharacterized. Lineage: Eukaryota; Metazoa; Chordata; Aves; Passeriformes; Tyrannidae. The transcript has 4 exons. The record is from RefSeq and is a predicted model, not a curated record.
CUUCUUCUCCUUCAGCCAUCUUAGGAGGAAUAUUUUCCUUCCCUGCAGUCUCCAUUUUAUGGUUCUGACGCAGAAAAUAAGCAGAUGCACUUGGGGCUUAGAGGGCUCUCUCUGGAAGGGAUGAUGACUCUGCCCUUGCUGAUGAUUCUUGUGGAAGCAUCUCCUGUGCCCAGAUGAAAACCCCCAGCUCUCCCAGCCUGGCUGCAGAGCAGAGGGUCUCCAGCCCUGGGAGCAUCUCCAUGGCAUUCUCUGGAGUCCCUCCAACAGCUCCAUACCCUUCUGAUGCUGCGACCCCCAGAACUGGAUGCAGUGCUGCAGUGUCUGCUGAGAACUUGAGGAAAAGCUUAAACAGGACAAAAGGACAGAUUUUGAGUGUGCAGUGGAAUAUUCUGAACUUCCCGGCUGACACAGAUCAGAUAAGAGUGACAAAUCUGGGGGGGGAAUUGACAAUAUCCUUCUGCUUUUAGGAAGAAAAAUACUUCACAGUGGAUGUGAGCUGUGGUAGAAGGGAUUCAUGGGUCUCAGUAAAGUUUGGAAAGAGAAUAGAAGGGUCUGUUAUGUGGGGAAAAGACAUUUCUGGUGUGGUAUGGACCAUGGAAUGUUCCUCUACAGCUGAGGGGGGUGGGGAGGGGGAUCUCACAGUGCUGCAGAGAUGCUGUUUGCCAUCCACAGGGAAUUCUGUCGUUCUGAGCCUCUUCGACAGCUUUGUGCAAAGGGAUCACUGCUCUGUUUAGUUGUCAUCUAAAAAUGAGUUGCCUGACUGCAUUCCUGGAGUUUCUGGACUGCUUGGAGCCUGGUGGUUUGCUGGCAGUGCUGUGGGAUUGCCAAGGAGUGCUCUGAGUGUCUCGGUGUUGCAGUGUUCUGAUGGACUUUGAGCAGUCAGGGCUCUACCACGGAAUCUUGGAAUCCCAGGAUCAUUGAGGCUGGAAAAGCCCUCCCAGCCCGUGGAUCCCCCCUGAGCCCCAUCCCCACCCUGUCCCCAGCCCAGAGCACUGAGUGCCACGGACAGUCCUUCCUUGGACACCUCCAGGGAUGGGGACUCCAAACCUCCCUGGGCAGCCCCUGCCACUGCCUGACCACCCUUUCCAGGAGAAAUUCCUCCUGGUGUCCAACCUGAACCUCCCCUGGCACAGUUUGAGGCUGUUUCCCCUUGUCCACCCUCGACACUGGAGGUGUAAGUGUCACCCAGGCACUGAGUGGGUUGGGCUGGGUCCAUCUCAGCAUUAUGGUCUGCUGAAACCUCUGAGUGGGGAGGAACCACGGAGGGGGUGGAAUGUUGCAGUCUGACAUUCCUCUGGUGUUUUCCACUUCAUGUUUGGGUUAUGGUCAUUGACUUUUGGGUUCUACAGCUUUAAGGAUGCCAAGAUACAGUGUGAGAAGCUGCAAAGGAUGUACUCAAACCAGAGCAUCUUCAACUACACCAGAGCCCCACUGCUCAGCUCUGCCCUGCUCCUCACCCUCCCCCUUCCAAGGGAGGACUUUAAACACUUUUGUGUGGGUUUUUUCCCCCUCUCACCCCUCCUGCAGCCCCACAGCAGCUGUCUCUCCUGUCCUGCAGAAGCUGCCGUGGAGAACCAGGAGCAGCAUGAAACAGAAUCUGCUCUGUGAGGGUGGUGAGGGAGGAGGCAGAGGAGAAGUCCCAGGAGUGAGAGCAGCAGGGAACAGGCACAAAGGCAGGUAUGGGAUGAAAUGGGUGUUUGGGGCAGCAGAAAGUUUGGUCUGGGUGCAAAGCCCUAGAAGUAGCAUGUGGAGCUACAGAAGAAGAGAGAAAUGCUCUGGAGCUGGAUUCCCAGGGAUGGAGGCUUGGGACAGCAAAAGUGGUGUUGCAAUUUACUGAGAACAGCAGAGUCCUGAGAGCAGCAAUUUGCAGGUUAGCCUGAGGAGUUUUACAUGCAGCUGAGGGACAGCUCACAGCAAACCCACCUUCAGCGAUGUGCAAAGCCUGUUAGGUACAGAGAACCUUCUUAAACCUGGGGGUCUUCCCGAGAGGCUUUUUGGCUGUGUGAAAUUCAGCAAUUUGCAGGACACACCAAAGCCUGUGCACCCAUUCAGCACUGUAUUCCUGUGCUCCAUCCCCUCCCUUGGCUUCUUGGGAGGCUCAGGGGGCUGUUGACACCAGAGCUCUUCUCCCCCUUCCCAAGCCAUGAUGCUGUGCCAGACUCCUCUAUUCCAACCACAUGCGUUUCAGAUUUCUUUGCAAAUGUGUUUUAAAAGGGAGGAGGAGGGGGAGGGAGGCCAUAAAUAUUUUUAUGAGCUUUCCCAGCCCUGGAGCCUGAACCUGGGAAUACCUAAAUGAACCUGGGGAAUCCUCUGUGCAGUCCUCUGUGGGAUUGGCUCUGUGGGACAGCCUUGGGAUGACUGUGCAGCCCCAGGUUCCUCUUUCAUCCCCUUGACUGUGCCCUUACCUCUGAGUCAAUCCUGCAUUAGCAGCUACUCCUGCACCAAAGCUGUGUUGCUUUUGGGGAGCAGAAGGACCUGAUAUUCCUCCUGCCCAUGUUUUCAUGUUGUCCACUUUCCUUCCCAGCUCCAGACAUGCUCAGGGACAUGGAUGUAGAUCAAACUCUGUCACUUUGUGAUAGAACAGCCAUUUCCUUCACCUUUUUGCAACAUCACCCAUGAAAUUAAGGAUAUUAAUGAGCUUAAGUUUGGAAGCCUCCUGAGCCUGUAGCUACUACAGGCACAGACCUGCAACGAGAGACCAGUGACCCCUCCCAGCAGUUGUGGUUGGUCUGAAUUCAACCUUCUGCUUGGUGCAGGAGGUUAAUGUGGCUCUGCAUGUCCUGUGCUGUCCCCACAGCGUGGGCCUUCUCCCUUUGCCUGCUCCCUGCUACCAGAUGCAUUCUUUGCUUCCAACAUAUGGACUCAAUUACUGUCCCUCUCCCUUGAUUUCCUGCCUCUCUGGGUUUCCUGAAACGCAUCCUCUCCUCCUGGCAGCCCCAGCUCCCGCAGUGAGACACUUUGCAAGCCCUCACAUUCCUCCCUCCCUCCCUCCUGCUGCUUUGCUGCCUCUGACAAAGGGGUCCUGCUCCAGAGCACGCACAGAUAAGGCUGCAGACCCCCACGUUGCUGUCCCUGAGCCCAGGAACCCCAAGGGCUUGGCUCUCCACAGCAAAAAUAAAUGCCUGCCCAGUGUCUGGCAGGGCUGUUUCCCAGCUCCCCUGGACAGAGGUCCCCACCCUGCUCAGCAUCCAUCCUACAUCACCCUGUAGCUCUCAGCCAGCUGCUUUAGUUGCAAGACACAGGUUUCUUCUUUUUUGUUGUGUUUUUUUUUCCAUUCCCUUCUGAGGCUGGGGGCUUUCCAAGGCUCUGUGCUUUGAAAGGAGUAUCAAACCACUCUGGAUUUCCCCUGGGUGCUGUUUGGCAUCUUUCCUGGGCAUUUACCCCUGCAAAAAAAGCCCUGUGCCCGUGGCUCCUGCUUUAAAAGCUUUGGAGGAGGGGGGAAGGAGCCCUGCCUUCUCCAUUAGGGGUUCUCUCAGCCCUUUCUGCUGCUGGGGGGGAGUCCCAGGCACUGCAGCACCGGGGUGCUGGAAAUCCUGAGGAAUCUGUGAGCUUAUUCAGGGGGCAGGAGGAGGUGGAAAUGGUUAAAUCACACAAAGGAGCCAGUUAAUGAUUCCCAUCCCCUUGCUGGCAUGUUUCAGGAUUUGGAAGGGGUCUGGCCAGCAGCUGUGCCAGCAUUUGUAGCUCAAAAAGAGCAUUUUCUUUCUGUGUCAGCUUUCAUCCAUGGCCCCUUUGGAUUCCCCUGGUUCCUGCAGAUACCAGAGUUUUUCCAGGGCUCCUGCUGCUGCAGAUCCCUGUGACUUUUCCCUCCCAUACCCAGGGAUGGAGUUAGAUGGGGAGGGGGGUGAAGAAGGCACAGCUUCCUCCCUGCUUUCUUCCUGUCCCAUCCUUCCCCGAGCAGAGGAGAGGCUUUUUCCCAGGAUCCAAAUGACUUGGCAGCACUUGUGAAUGGAAGGAAAAGCUGAAGAGCUGCACUUCUGAACCCAGGAGUGCAGGGGAGCAAUUUGGGAUGCAUCGUCUGCAUCUGAGCAGUCCCACAGUCACGUUCAGCUGCAGGAGCCUCAUUGUGUAACAAGAUUUAUAUGUUGUAUAUGUGUGCCUUUUAUAGAUAUUGUGUACUGUGUAAUAAGCUGUGUUAUAACAAGCCUGGACACUGUGCCCAGGUUCUCUCUCUAAGGUCACUGAGCCCCAGGACACAGGAAUAGGUUGUCCCUGUGCUGUUGUCUCAGCUUCCCUCAAGGAUGGUGCCUGUUCUCUCCUGGACUGCCCCCCCUUGGAAUUGGAACAGGCAGGCCGGGGAAGUGGUGGUGUCACCAUUCCUGGGAGUGUUCAAAAACUCUGGAUGUGGCACUAGAGAACACGGUUUAGUGGUGACUACAGUGGUGCUGGGUUUAUGACCUGAGAAGUCUUUUCAAACCUGAAUGAUUCUGGGAUCACCUCAAAUGUAGCACCUCCCCAACUUCCUCCUCUCCUUCUCCUGGUGUCUUUUUCUUAUUGCAGGCAGUGGUGGAAGGAAGGAGAGGGAAAAGCCCAAAUUUCUCAGUUCAGAUAUAAAGGGUGUUUAAAAAUCCUUGAUUUUUUAAAUCAAUCACUAAAUCUGGAGGGAAGUGAAUGAAGCACAGAGGUGAGGUAGGAACCCUAAUUAUCCAAGACACAGCAUCCUUCCUCAGCCUUCCAGACACCUUCUCUGGCUUGGGAUGAGUUCAGCCUAAAAUUCCCCAUUGGGCCACUGCCCUGUCUCAUCCUCAGAGACCCUUUGCAGCCACCCAGAGCCUCCCCAAGCAGAGGGGUCAGUGUAAAACUCUCAAAAGCCCUACUGCAUGUCACUGCUGUCACUCAAACCUGCCCCCAAAGAUUUGAGACCCCCUCUGUGAGUUAAUUUGGACUGGUUUGCUCCAAGAGGAGCAUCCCUGCCAACCAAGCCCAUGGUGAGAGGUGUUGUGUCCCUCCUAAGAGCCCCCCCCCAAAGCUCUGGGGACUCGGGGGGUGUAGACCUGCCCCCUCAAUCCUUACAGCCUCCCUUCACUAGCCCAAAAGCCGCGUCUGGUAGCCAGGUUUCAUGCCCCACCCCAGCGCGCUGGAGCUGUCCCUGCUCCCCCGAGCCGGGGUUUUUGGGGUGCCGGCUGUGGGGCCGCGGGGCCGGGCUGGGGGUGCCGGCAGGUGGCAGCCUGGGCAGGCAGCAAGCGCAGUUUCUCGCAGAUGUUUAAUGGGAUUGUCGAGCUCUGGGAUUCAUCGGGAGCUGUUGUCACGGAAACGGAGAUCUGCGAGAGCCCGGGCGCUCGGAGUUAACCCCCUCAGUGCCGGGGAGGAUCGGCAGAGAGGGGAGCGAUUGGUGCCAGGAGCUCCCAAACUCCACCUGGCUUCGUAGGGGCAGCGGGAAGGUGCUGUUUUAUUUAGGACUAGGGGUUUAAUUGCCUCAUAGAAUCUGCCUCUGUGCUGUUGGAGCACAAGGCUGAGCCCCAGUGCUCCAAGGGGGAUGUUCCAUAUUCUGCCAGGGUGUCCCGGUCCUCUCGUUUUUAAGCCUGGGAGACUCCCACACGAACAAGAGGGGCCCGAUGGGUGCAGGUCUCCCGGAUUCCCAGCUUGUGGGAGGAAAAUAUCCUCCUAAUGCCUGAUCCCAACACAUCCCAUCCUACUCGGCACCUCCUCUGGGGCUGGGGCUGGACAGGAGAGGGCAUCAGAGCUGCGCUGCCACGGGGGUGGCGGCGGCACAUGUGUCACCCCCGCACGUGGCUCCCCCCGGGGUGACACCCCUGAUGCCGGGGAGGACGAGCAGCUGUGACCGGGAUAAUCUCCUUAGCGGCCUGAGCACCAGCACGGGAGUGAAAGGGAGAUUAGAGGGCAGGGGGGCAUUAGCAGCCCGGGAUGCUCAGGGGAAAGGCGCAAGGAGACAACUGGGCCAAGCAGAGAGGGAGAGGACCCUGGGGGAGAUCAGUGGAGCAGCCAGAGAGGCCUCCAAGGGCAGCAAAUAACCCAACAGCUGGGGGCUCUGAGGAAGUGAAAGACUUUAGAAAACGUGCCCAGAAAUCCUUGUGAAGCCAUCCCCCCCUUCCCUCUCCUCCCCAGGAGGAAGGCGUUGCCAGGCAGUCUGCCUCCUAAUUCAGUCCCUCCCAUCCAGAGCGGGGGAGGUGGAUGCCUUCCAACCCCCCAUCAUACCCACAGGGCAUGAAAACAUUCCCUCAAAGCAUAUUCAGACCCACUGGAUUCUACCUUGUGGAGGAACAGGACAUGGAAUAUUUAUUGUCCUUUUCCAUGAUACAAUCGGGAAAAGAUGCUGUUUUCUGUAGCAGAGCAGGGUGUGAGGCUGUUGCUCUCAAAGUCCAGAGGCUGGGCUUUGUUUCCUGUUCCUGCCACAUCAGUGUCACGGGGUUCUGUGUUUUUCUUGCUGGGGGGUAACAAGGCUGGAAUGAUGGAUGUCUUACAGGAAGCUUUGCAGUCCUGCAGCCUGUCCUGCCAGAGCAGGGGAGCAUGGCAGGGUAGUGCUGCUCACUGAGCUGUGCCUCCUCUGUGCUUCUUCCCACAGGGAGCUCCAGGGCUGGGAAGGGAUGGAAAAAACAGUACCUACUAUUACUAUUCACUGUUUGUUCCUUCCUCUCAGCUGUCAAGGAAACCAUGGCACGGUCCACAUACCCAGCUGGUAUUGCUGUGGUUGCUGACGUGGACUGUCCUUUUAAUCCAUAUCCAAAAUAGCUUCUCCACCCCUCCAUUUGUGCUGGCUCACAGAGCACCUUCCACCGUGCCAUGGUCUGUUCUCUUGCCCGGGGAUGUGGUUUGGAAUGCCAAAUUUUUCUUAGAAUCAUAAAAUCACAAAGUAGUUCAGACUAAAAAGGACCUUUAAAGGUCAUCCAGUUCCACCUCCUGCCAUGGGCAGGGACACCUUUCACUAGUCCAGGUUACUCUAAGCCCUAUCCAACCUGGCCUUGGACACUUCCAGGGAUCCAGGGGCAGCCACAGCUUCUCUGGGCAAGCUGUGCCAGGGCCUCCCCACCCUCACAGCCAAGAAUUUUUUUCCUAUAUCUAGUCUGAAUCUCCCCUCUUGGUUUAAAACCAUUUCCCUUGUCCUAUUACUACAGGUCCUACUACAAAGUCUUCCAGGCUAAGGAAGCAGAAUCCCAGUGUGAAGAGAUGUUAAAGCAGCUCUUGUGCUGCUGAAAGUGGUCCCUGCAUGGGAGAUUCUGGGUAGAGGGGUUGUGAUGAGCUCAGGGUGGAAAAGAAAGCAGAAAAAAGCGGGACCCAAAGUGGAAGCGAGGAAAGGCAGUGCCAGAUCUGUGCCACAUAAGUGACCACAAGCUGGUGACCAGGGCAGAAGAGUGGGGGAGGAAGAUCUCUGAGCCAAGUAUUUGGAAAAUGAAAACCAGAGUAGAGAUGUAGAAGAGGUGAAGAUACAACUUUUCUCUCUCACAUGCAGGAGGAGGGACAGGAGAAGCACGGAGAGAAGUCUCCAGCUGAAUUCACACAGCCUACAGUGGCAGUGGGGUGUUUGGUUCUUUUACUUGCAGAAAAGGGCAGGGAUUUAAAGUAACAUUGAGGGGCUGGAGCUUGUCUGGAGAAGGGAACAAAACUUGGGGAGGGUCUGGAGUGCAAGUCUGAUGAGAAGCAGCUGAGGGAGCUGGGGGGGCUCAGCCUGGAGAAAAGGAGGCUCAGGGGGGACCUUCUCACUCUCUACAGCUCCCUGACAGGAGAGGGGAGCCAGGGAGGUGGGGGUAUUGGGCUCUGCUCCCAGGGAACAAGCUACAGGACAAGAGGAAACGGCUGCAAGUUGUGCCAGGACAGGCUCAGGUUGGAUAUUAGGGAAAUUUCUUUACUGAAAGGGUAGUCACACUCUGGCACAGGCUGCCCAGGGCAGGGGUGGAGUCACCAUCCCUGGAAGUGUUAAAAAGUCAUGUGGGUGUGGCACCUGGGGACAUGGUUUAGUGGUGGCCUCGGCAGUGCUGGGUUAAAGGUUGGACUCGAUGAUCUCAGAGGGUUUUUCCAACCUAAACAAUUCUGUGAUUGUAACAGGCUAUUCUGCCUUCUGGCCUCAGCAGAGUCCAAGGCUAGUCCCUGGCUAGCAUAGCCUUGCUGCCCCCUCAGCAGCUUGGCCUCUGUGUGGCAGAUGUGUCUUGGUGCUGUGACACGUGGGGUGUCCCUGUCCCCCCUCCAGAGUCAGGCUCGGUGUCCGUGAGCAGCAGCCCAAACCCUGUGUGUAUGACCCUGGCACCACGUGUGCUCCUGUACAGCACCUCAUCUGUUAGUGAUGGCGUGCCCUGUGACCCACUGACAUCUCCCCGGCUUGGUUUCACCCUCCAGCCCUUUCCCAGAGGAGCACUGUGUGCUCUGCCCACGGGAAGCUCUCCUGCUGUAAUCCAAACCCUGGCUGUCACAGCCAUUCCAGACCCAGCUUCCCCUGGAGGAGGAGGAUUUCCCCUUCCACACCUGCAAAAACAAGGGGCCCUGACUCACUGCCUACAGGGUGCAAGAGCCAUGAGGACUCCACUUACAGCUUGCUCGUGGAGGUAGGAGCUGGGACAGGGGGCACCAGGCAUUAUGCCUGUCCCUGUGGGAUUUCCCUCCCCUACCCUUUGGGUUUCCUCCUCUUUUGCUCCAUUCAGAAGGUGGUUUCAGUGCAGUGCACUGUGGUCCUGUCAUGGUUGAACCCUGGUGAGCAGCUAAACACCACCAGCUGCUCAGUGACUGAACACCUGCCUGCCAAGGGGAAGUGAUAAAUGAAUUCUUUGUUUGCUUUGUUUGCAUGCUCAGCUGUUGCUUUACUUAUUAAACCACCUUUAUCUCAACCCACCCCCUUCCAGUUCUACCCCCAUCCCACUGUGAGGACUGAGGGGCUGUGUGGGGCAGAGCUGCCCCCUGGGGUUAACCCACACCAGGUCCCAACCCCCCUACUGGUUUGCUGCAUGUGUUUGCAGAGGAUCCUGCUGGACCCAGUUCUUCCCUGAGUCCUCCUCCCCAUGACCCUCCUGUCUGAUGUUCUGUGGUCCCCAGGAGCUCUGCCAGUGGGAUGUAUUGUCCUCCUCCAUCCCCAGUUGUCAGGACAUUUCUCCAUCCCCUGUCACGGAACCCCCUUCCGAGCAAAUCGGGAGCUCAACGUGUGAGCCCUGUCAGCUCUGAUCUCUGGUUCCCAUCCUGCCCAGGCAGCUGUGUCUAUUCAGCCACGAGCAGCUCUGUCCCUAGACUGUGAAGGAAUGGGAAAAGCCGCCGAGUUUCUCCUUAAAGGAGCCGUUGUCGGGAAAUGAGGUCAGGGAAAGGGGAAUGCUGAGCAGGUCACUGAGGGACCACGGCAGGGCACUCGCACAAUAGCUCAGUGUCCUCCCCCGGUCCGGCUCAGCUUUUGUCCCACCCUCAGAACUUCAGCCGAAUCAUUCAGAACUGGUUUGUGGCUGAAGUGACUCAGCCAGUGUCCUUUUGUGUCACCUCGAUGUCACAGCUUUGCCAUUUGCUCCCCGGCACACGGGGAAGUGAAGGCAGGAAAUCAAUCCCAAAUCCAUCACCGCUGGCCCGGGCAGCCACAGGAGAGAGCCAGGGCUGGGCUGCAGCGGGGGACUCUGCUUUCUGGUGCACAGAGCAGACACAUCACCCCUUGUCCCAGUCUCCCCCAGUCCCUCCCCCUUGUUCCCUGGAUGUGGGAGAGGAGAUGAUAAUGCUCGUCUCUAACCCAGGUUAGAGAUGGAAGCAGCUUGCAUCUCUGCUAGUGGGCAAAAUCAUGCUGGGACAAAAAUCCACGUAUUGUGGGGAGAAGGCAGCAAUUUCCAAAUCCUCCCAAAAUACUUUGUCAGUCCUGUACAAAGCCACUGAGAUCUCAAAGCAGAUCUGCAGGGGAUGACCAAAAAUAGCAUCUUUGGGCAGGGGGUUCCAGCCCAACAAUCCCUUGGUCGAGCCAUAAAUACUCUUUGCUUAAAAUGCUAUUAAUGUUCAGUAACUCCAGUGUUUUCCUGUCCUCCUGCUGCUGAUGGCAUGUUGAUGGAAUCUGCCUGGUUUUCCCAAGGGGUCUCUUGCAAUCUCCUAAAGAAGCUGAGCUCCCAUGGGAGGAGAGGAAGAUUUCUACGUGGCUGCAACCUGGUAUUUAACUGGCUAAAAGGCAGAAAACAAAACACAGCAGGAAGACUGAGAAUGGUAGGGAUAUUUCUGACAAUAUUUCAGUAGGAAAAACAAAUUACUGACUUGAAGGGAUCAGAGGGUCCUCACCUGGAUGCUUGGUGGCUUAUAGGACCACAAAGAUGCUCUGAGAGCUGGACCACCUCUGCUCUGGAGCCAGGCUGGGAGAGCUGGGGAUUUUCAUCUGGAGAAGAGAAGAUCCCAGGGAGACCAUAGAGCCCCUUCCAGUGCCUCAGGGGACUUGAGGAGAGGGACUUGGAGGGGCAGAACAUGGGGAAUGGCUCCACACUGCCAGAGGGCAGGGUUAGAUGGGAUAUUGGGGUGACGAGGCCCUGGCACAGGUUGCUGUGGUUGCCCCAUCCCUGGAAGUGUCCAAGGCCAGGUUGGAUGGGGCUUGGAGCAACCUGGGCUAGUGGAAGGUGUUCCUACCCAUGGCAGGGGAUGGAAAUGGAAGGUUUUUAAGGUCCUUUCCAACCCAAACCAUUCUGUGAUUUUAUGAUCUCAAAGGAUUUGUUCUACUCUCUGUGCUUUUCCCUUUUAGCUCUGUGAACACAGGGAUGAUGCUCCAAGCUGACCAUUUCCACUUGGAGCAAAACAUGGGGUGUGGGGGGGGUCAGUGCAAUGUCAGUGCUGCCCUGCAGCAGUUUAAACCCCAAAUUCCCUCUGAGAUCUAGAAAUCUCUGAGAAAGGAAGAAGAGGAGAGAAGAGCAACCACAGCAGUAGCUUUCUUUCUGUUUGAAACACAUUGUGCUGCCUGCAGCUCUGGUUCCCCUGCCUGAGGAGGGACCUCGUGAGCUAGAUCAGAUGCAGACUUAAUUCAGGAAAGGGAUGUGGAGGAGACAUGUGAAAUGAUAAACUGAAGAUGUUUUCCCCAAUUGUAAGCAAGAGCUUGAAUGGAGCUGGGAGGGGCAGCCUUAAAUGUCAAGCUGUCAUUUCACAGCCCUCCCCUUCACAGGAUGUUGCGGAUGCUUAUGGUUUACCCAGGUUAAAAAAAGCCGUGGAAUACAUUCAUGGACUAAAAAGGUGGGAGGAUAUGAGAAAAUUCACUGGUGAGAGAGAUGAGAGAGUGUCGGUGGGGGUGUGAGGGAGCAAUUAGGAGCUGCAAGGAGCGGAGGGGAAGGGAGGGAGGAAGGAAAGUAGGGAGAGAGGGAGGAAGCAGUCUGCCGGGUUCAUGCUGUGUCGGGAAGGCGCUUGGUUGGGGGGAGAGACGGGCUGUGGGAGGAGGAUGACUCUGCCCAGAGGAGCAAGAAGCUGCUGCUGCAACUUGGGGCUCAGGAGAGGAGUUGGGAGCGUGGGAGAGCCUGGAUGCAGAGUAAGCCCUGAGGGGAGAAGGGGCUGCUGGAUCAGAGGAGGGUUUGAAGAGGGAGGAGGACAAGCAGUGCAUUGAGUACAGGCUCCUGCUUCCUUUCAGCCCUGUCUAGCUUUGCCACAGCCCAGCUGGCAGCUGGGGGGACACCCCCACCCCCCUCCUUCCUGCUGCAGCCCCGAGGGGAUCCGUGCACAAAGCCUGGCAGCUCUGAAUGCUCCCUGUGUUGUCUGCACACACCAAAUGUUUCAUCUCUGCUCAGUGCCAGACCCCAAGGGCUGUGACACACCAGCAGCACCCACGCAGGGCCCACACGCUGGGGUCCAGCUCCAAAAAAAUGCCCACCCCGAGCAAGGGACACCUUGCCAGCAGAUCUCGAAGGGGAAGGGAGAUGAGGGAUGUCCAGGUUUGGAGGCUGUGGGUCCCUUCCCAGCCAGGCUGUGUGUGUGACCUGUGUGUGUCAGACCUGCUGUGCACACAGAACAAGUGCUGUCUGAGCCAUCCCCUGUGCACAGCCCACGUUUCUCUUGCUUUACUGGUUUCUGGGGUAGAGGACAGACCCAUAAGUGACGUCUCCUGCCCACUGUGCCACAACUUUAUUUGGGGCUGCAGCUGGGAGCGGGGCAGGGAGAGACAGAUGCACCAAGGAGGGGUGAGGGGGAGUUUCAGGGGUGGAGGGUAAGAGAGGGGUUCUGGGUUUGUGAUCGCUAUUUACCAGAGUCUCCAAAAAGCUUUUAAAUCCUGUACCUUGUCUCUGUACAAUUUCGUGUGCCUGCCUUUGGUGUUUCAGGAGCUGGGGAUGACAGCACAGAAGGUUUUCAGCCCUGAAGGAGUUAAUCCCUCCCUCCCGCAGCGCCUGGGCAGUAACUGGGACGCUGCUUCUUAUCCCUGAGCCGCUCCUCUCCCUUCUGCCGUCUCCUCCCAGUCGUAAAAAAUACAUCUUCGGAGGCGCUGCAGGCGGGAGAGAGGCCGUGCCGGUGCUGGCCCCGUGGCCGUGCCGGGGCUCAGCCACCACGCUCACCCCGUGCCCUCGUCACCCGAGUGUCCCGGGGCCGGCUGCCGCCCGGCAGCUGCUCUGAUUCGGGGUUAGAGCCCGGAGCGCGGCGUCACGGGCUGGAUGAGCUCCGGCUUUAAGCCACGAAGGCUUCUUAAGGGUAGACACUGUCUGUGUCUCUAGGGCAACAGAACUGGGAGGCUUACAUGGAUAAGGCUAAACUGUGGAGCAGGGGAGGGCUCGGGCAGGGCUGGGCUGUAAUCUUUGCCAGCACAGCCCUGUGAGAGCCUGGGGGCAGCAUCCUCCAUCACACCGCCUGUCCUCUCCCAUGGGAUGCACGAGGGAGGCAUGGGAGGCACAGCCUCCUGUGCUCUGGAGUGCCAUUUGGGUCACGGUGUUGCCCAGCAGGCGCUACUGUCAGAGCUACCCCUUUCCUCUUGGGUUGGGGUGAGAGCAGGUGGGUGCCUGAUCCCUUAAUGGGAUGCCUUUUGCAGCCUUGAUCCCGUGGUGAGAAUGUCCCAGCCCUGCAGCAUCCUGAGCUCCUGUGGCUCCUCCAGCCCAGUCAGCUGCAGCCCCUGAGGAAGGUGGUCUGUGCCAGAGCUGGCCUGGAGGAGCUUCUCCCCCUGCUUUUAACAUCCCCUUGUUUUCAGAAUCAAGCAAAAGACCAGCAAAGCCAGCCAGGUGACAAGAGAUGGAGGAGCAUCUGCUCAUGUUGGACAUUGCUCCUGGACAAAGGCAGAAUGCUGCUCGACCUGUGAGGGCUUUCAGUAAGUAAAAUACAGUUUCACUCUGGGAUCUGGGCAUGAUAUGGAGGAUAAUUUAUCUUCCUUCUUCCUCCUGGGACUGCUAGUGGCAAUUUUUGCAUCAUUUUAGCUCUCCUGACCCAUCUUUGGAGUAGACCCUGUAGACAGCUGAAGCCAAGGGGAGGAACAUCAUCUGUUGCUCUCACGGUGGAGCAGAUUGGGCAGAAAGGCAGGGACAGAGCAAAGCCACAGCCCUCCCUACACACAGCUCCGUGCUGGGGUGACAGUCGGGGAGCCCAGGUCUGGUCUUGCAGGGUGCUGGAUCCUGGUGGAGUUUACAGUGGGAACAGCUCUGCCCCAGCUUGUGGCUUCCAGGUGUUGAGCUGUUUUCUUGUUCUGAUUUAGCAUAUUUAUAACACUGAAGUAAGAGAGGGAUCCAUAAGAGCCCAGCAUCAUCUGGGACUGGCUUACAUCCUGGCUGUCACCACAUCCCUGAGGGAGGAGACAGGCUGAUCCCAGCCCAGGUAAGAGCUGGGGUGUCAGGAAGGUAGAGAAGGAAAUAGGGUGGCUGGGAAUGCUGGGGGGGGGAAAUAGGUAGAAAUAGGGAGGGAGAGAAGGCAGGUUGGCACCUUCCAAUCUGUGAGAGCCAGCCAGGGAGGGCUGAGCAGGCAUAGAGGUGUUGCAGCAGGGUCUGGGGGGCAUUGCUGGCGUCACCCAGCACAGGGCAGGCUCUUUCCUGUGGGAACCCCUGUGUGCCAGGGUGCUGCUGGGAGCACUGCUCCCUCCUGGAGUCCCCACUUCGCAGCUUUUCGUUUUAAUGCACUUUUCAUAGAAUCCCAGAAUGCUUUGGUUGGAAAGGACCUUAAAAACCAUCUCUUCCCAACCCUCUGUCAUGGGCAAGGACACCUUCCACUAAAGCACGUUGCUCAGAGCCUUUACAGGUGCUGGGCUGUGCUGUGCAAACCCAGUUGUGUGUGAACCGUGGAGAACAGCUGCAGAUGAGCCCUUGGGAUGAGGUGGGUGGUGCCUGUGCACAGGAGCUUUGUGCUGGAGAGAGAAAAGGGAGAAAAAGGCUGAUCUGACAGGGAAGUGUUGCUGUUUCAGCCUCACAGUCCAGGGGAGCUGUGGUUCCCCCGUUGUGGGGUGGAGCACUAGACACAAGGCUUGACUCCUUCCCACCCCCCUGGAAAAGAAUGAGGGAGUCAAAAAGGGCAGGUAGGAUAACUAAAGCAUCAGUCUCUCUGCUCUCCUGGUGCCUGGGGCAUCAGAUGGCUCCUUGUGGGGCUGUGCCAUCCUCAUUUCGGGGGGCUGGUGGGCUCUGCCAGGCUGAUUAGGGCAGGCAGGAGAUGCCAAGUGUCCAAGGCUGCUCUGAGCUACCAAAAUGUCCGGAAAUCUGCAAAUUGAAGGAGAAACUGGGAUACGUGAGCUGCAUCUGGGCCAGCCUGGAGCCUUGCCUGGGAGCUCUGUAUUUUCUUGUACCAGUUCCUUUCAUCUAAAGCCUUUUUUCAUGGCUUUGCAGCUGUGGGAGAGGGGUGCUCUGGGAGUGCUGUUUGAGAGCUUGUGUGUACAAAAGAUGGAGAAAUAAACACGAUUUU